CGCACCUUGCGCUCCUUGGUAUUCCGAGGAGCAUGCCUGUUUGAGUGUCAUUAAAUUCUCAACUCCACUCCAGUUUUUUUUUUUGAAGCUGGUGUUCGGGGCUUGGACAUGGGGGGUCUAUGCCGGCCUUUGUAAAACGGAGGUCGGCUCCUCUGAAAUGCAUUAGCGGAACCGUUUGCGGUCCAUCACAGGUGUGAUAAUUAUCUACGCCGUGGGGCUGCUCUCUGUCUGUUCAGCUGCCAAUCGUCCCUUCCAGGGGACAAUCUCUGAACAUUUUGACCUCAAAUCAGGUAGGACUACCCGCUGAACUUAA
Molecule: unclassified non-coding RNA, 313 nt
Filed under: Podaxis sp.
Lineage: Eukaryota; Fungi; Basidiomycota; Agaricomycetes; Agaricales; Agaricaceae
Description: partial contains 5.8S ribosomal RNA, internal transcribed spacer 2, and large subunit ribosomal RNA
Source: RNAcentral